GACGAAGGUGGCAAGCGUUGUUCGGAAUCACUGGGCUUAAAGAGCACGUAGGCGGUCUGCUAAGUGCCUUGUGAAAUCCCUCGGCUCAACCGAGGAAUUGCUUGGCAUACUGGCGGACUUGAGGCAGGUAAGGGUGGGUGGAACUCUUGGUGGAGCGGUGAAAUGCGUAGAUAUCAAGAGGAACGCCGGCGGUGAAGACGACCCACUAGGCCUGUCCUGACGCUGAGGUGCGAAAGCCAGGGGAGCAAACGGG
Molecule: ribosomal RNA, 253 nt
Filed under: uncultured bacterium
Lineage: Bacteria
Description: partial 16S ribosomal RNA
Rfam family: Bacterial small subunit ribosomal RNA
Source: RNAcentral